RNAcentral lists this transfer RNA (73 nucleotides) under Hoeflea sp. BAL378. Its description in RNAcentral is "tRNA-Met". It matches the Rfam family "tRNA". Rfam says of the family: Transfer RNA (tRNA) molecules are approximately 80 nucleotides in length. Their secondary structure includes four short double-helical elements and three loops (D, anti-codon, and T loops). The record is from RNAcentral. Lineage: Bacteria; Pseudomonadati; Pseudomonadota; Alphaproteobacteria; Hyphomicrobiales; Rhizobiaceae.
GGCGGGGUAGCUCAGCCGGUUAGAGCAGCGGAAUCAUAAUCCGCGUGUCGGGGGUUCGAGUCCCUCUCCCGCU